This 253-nucleotide ribosomal RNA is filed under the name uncultured bacterium. RNAcentral's name for it is "partial 16S ribosomal RNA". It matches the Rfam family "Bacterial small subunit ribosomal RNA", at positions 524 to 776 of the family's 1533-position model. The record is from RNAcentral.
UACAGAGGGUGCAAGCGUUGUCCGGAAUCACUGGGCGUAAAGGGCGCGUAGGUGGCCUGGUAAGUAGGGGGUGAAAUCUCGCGGCUCAACUGCGAGGCUGCCUCCUAAACUGUCAGGCUCGAGCAGAGUAGAGGCAGGUGGAAUUCCCGGUGUAGCGGUGGAAUGCGUAGAGAUCGGGAAGAACAUCGGUGGCGAAGGCGGCCUGCUGGGCUCUUGCUGACACUGAGGCGCGACAGCGUGGGGAGCAAACAGG